UGGGGAAUAUUGCACAAUGGAGGGAACUCUGAUGCAGCGACGCCGCGUGAGUGAUGAAGGAAUUCGUUUCGUAAAACUCUGUUCUAUGGGAAGAAAAGGACUGUACCAUAGGAGAAAGCUCCGGCUAAAUACGUGCCAGCAGCCGCGGUAAUACGUAUGGAGCGAGCGUUGUCCGGAAUUAUUGGGCGUAAAGGGUGCGCAGGCGGCUUUACAAGUUGGAUGUGAAAUAUUGUGGCUCAACCACAAACGUGCAUCCAAAACUGCAAAGCUUGAGUUAAUGAGAGGUAAGUGGAAUUCCUGGUGUAGCGGUGGAAUGCGUAGAUAUCAGGAGGAAUACCGGUGGCGAAGGCGACUUACUGGACUUAAACUGACGCUCAGGCACGAAAGCGUGGGGAGCAAACAGG
RNAcentral lists this ribosomal RNA (404 nucleotides) under Fusobacteriota bacterium. Its description in RNAcentral is "Fusobacteria bacterium partial 16S ribosomal RNA". It matches the Rfam family "Bacterial small subunit ribosomal RNA", at positions 355 to 776 of the family's 1533-position model. Lineage: Bacteria; Fusobacteriati; Fusobacteriota. The record is from RNAcentral.